This 326-nucleotide ribosomal RNA is filed under the name uncultured eukaryote. Its description in RNAcentral is "partial 18S ribosomal RNA". It matches the Rfam family "Eukaryotic small subunit ribosomal RNA", at positions 1470 to 1796 of the family's 1831-position model. The record is from RNAcentral.
CCCUUAGAUGUUCUGGGCCGCACACGCGCUACACUGAAGGAGGCAGCGUGUACUCCUGGAUCGAAAGAUUUGGGUAACCCGCGAAUCUCCUUCGUGCUAGGGAUUGAGGUUUGCAAUUAUCCUUCAUGAACGAGGAAUUCCCAGUAAGUGCAAGUCAUAAGCUUGCGCUGACUACGUCCCUGCCCUUUGUACACACCGCCCGUCGCUACUACCGAUUGAAUGAUUUAGUGAGGACUUCGGACUGGGACCGAUGCGGCUUCGGGCUGCGUCGGUAUUCUGGAAAGAUGUCCAAACUGUAUCAUUUAGAGGAAGUAAAANUCGUANCA